RNAcentral lists this ribosomal RNA (116 nucleotides) under Caerostris darwini. Lineage: Eukaryota; Metazoa; Arthropoda; Arachnida; Araneae; Araneidae. The record is from RNAcentral.
AACGGCCGUACCAUGCUGAAUAUACCGGUUCCCGUUAGAUCACCGAAGUCAAGCAUCAUUGGGCGCGGUCAGUACUUGGGUAGGUAGGUGACCACCUGGGAACACCGCGUGCCGUU